AGCUCCACCGGAUCGACCGCGCGGGUCACCAUCAGGUAGUUGCGGAUCAUGAUCUCGUGCCGGUUCUC
Small RNA from Nocardia cyriacigeorgica, 68 nucleotides. It matches the Rfam family "ASdes TB sRNA". The record is from Rfam. Lineage: Bacteria; Bacillati; Actinomycetota; Actinomycetes; Mycobacteriales; Nocardiaceae.